RNAcentral lists this ribosomal RNA (344 nucleotides) under uncultured bacterium. RNAcentral describes it as "bacterial SSU rRNA". It matches the Rfam family "Bacterial small subunit ribosomal RNA", at positions 32 to 352 of the family's 1533-position model. The record is from RNAcentral.
AAUCAACGCUGGCGGCGUGCCUCAGACAUGCAAGUCGAACGCGAAAGUUCCCUUCGGGGGAUGAGUAGAGUGGCGCACGGGUGAGUAACACGUAGGUAAUCUACCUUUGGAUGGGGAAGUAACAACCGGAAACGGUUAGCUAAUACCGCAUAAUGCAGCGGCACCUAAUGGUGACAGUUGUUAAAGCGGGGGAGUCGAAAGACCUCGCGUCUGAAGAGGAGCCUGCGGCGGAUUAGCAGUUGGUAAGGUAACGGCUUACCAAGGCGACGAUCCGUAGCCGGCCUGAGAGGGGCGGUCGGCCACACUGACACUGACAUACGGGUCAGACUCCUACGGGAGGCAGC